CUGUUCUGUUCCUAAUUCAAGAUUGCUUUGUCUUGUCCUUUCUGAGCCUUGUUUACAUUACUUUUCCAAAAAACUGCAUGUAGCUCACCUUUAUCCCAAUUAACUGCCAAUAAAAGUCAGUGCCUGGGACUGGCCAGGGCCUGUCGGUUGUCCCUGCACCCCCGCUUUCUCUCUCCUAGUUCUGCCUUUUAGUUUUAUUUCUCAGGCCUCACGUGCGUAUACUGGGCAGGGUUCUGGAACCUAACUGCAGGAUCUCUAGUACUUGGCGCCCAUGGUCAGGGCUCAAACCAUGAGCAAUCACCUGCUCAGUAAGGCUACUCGGAAUAAAAGAAGGAGUCGACAAUAGCGUGCACCUCACACCAAGGUCAAGGACAAGCACAACAACCCAGAGAAAGAGUUUAGAGACCAAAACUAUAAAGGUAACUGGGCUAAGAAGACAGCCAAUAUUUUGGCCCUGGCCCUUCAAGGUCUACAAACAGCCCAGGUCAUGACAGAAUCUUUUCUACAAGAUCCUACAACUUUGGUAAGUCACCGAACCUCCUGAGCAGGGAGACUGUGGGACACCAAAAAAAGAAAAUAAGAUGCUGUGACCAUCAUCCCAGAAUGUACCACCACGGACCAAGAUGAUAGAUUUGCUGCAAGCAGCACAAUGUGACCCCCGCUGAGGGCCAUGCAAAAGCUACAUGUGAGUGACUCUCCUCGCCUGCAACAGCCCUUGGACCUGCAAAGAUCACCAGACCUAACGCAGCUGACGUUUUCAACAGAGAAGAGGGAGAUGCAGAGGACUAUAAUAUUGAUUAUGACCAAAGCAGACUAAAGAGCUAACCCCACAAUCAGCUUGUUUAUAGAAAUGAGUCCAAAGCCCAUGUGCCAAGGUCAGAGUAACUCGCACCCAAAUUCCAUUCCCACAACUAAAACCUCCUGACUAGAAAGACAAUGUUCUAAUUACAAUCAUGUAUUUGUCUAUUCUGUUCCUAAUUCGAGAUUGCUUUGUCUUGUCCUUUAUGGGCCCUGUUUACAUUAAUUUCCAUAGGAAUUCCACACAGCUUGCUUUUACCCCAAUUAACUGCCAAUAAAAGUCAGUGCCUGGGACUGGCCAGGGCUUUGGGUGGUUGCACCAGCACUGGUCGGUCCUGGCCCCCUUUCUCUCUCCUAGUUCUGCCUUAGUUUUAUUUCUUAGGCCUGCGUCGUAUACUGGGCAGGGUGCUGAAAC
This 1213-nucleotide long non-coding RNA is filed under the name Heterocephalus glaber (naked mole-rat). RNAcentral describes it as "lncRNA (ENSHGLG00100046519.1)". Lineage: Eukaryota; Metazoa; Chordata; Mammalia; Rodentia; Bathyergidae. The record is from RNAcentral.